GAUGAACGCUGGCGGCGUGCCUAAUACAUGUAAGUCGAACGGAGUAUUUAGCAAUAGAUACUUAGUGGCGAACGGGUGAGUAACGCGUUGGUGACCUGCCCCGAAGAGUGGGAUAACAGUUCGAAAGGACUGCUAAUACCGCAUAAUAUCGUCAGGGUUAGAGACCUGAUGAAGAAAGGAGCGAUCCGCUUUGGGAGGGGCCUGCGUCCCAUCAGCUAGUUGGUAAGGUAACGGCUUACCAAGGCGAAGACGGGUAGGGGGCCUGAGAGGGUGACCCCCCACACUGGCACUGAAACACGGGCCAGACACCUACGGGUGGCAGCAGUAGGGAAUAUUGCACAAUGGGCGAAAGCCUGAUGCAGCAACGCCGCGUGCGCGAAGAAGGCCUUCGGGUCGUAAAGCGCUUUUCGGGGAGAAGAGGAAGGACGGUAUCCCCGGAAUAAGGCUCGGCUAACUACGUGCCAGCAGCCGCGGUAACACGUAGGAGCCAAGCGUUAUCCGAAUUCACUGGGCGUAAAGCGCGUGUAGGCGGCUUGGUAAGUUGGAUGUGAAAGCUCCUGGCUCAACUGGGAGAGGACGUUCAAUACUGUCAGGCUAGAGGACGGCAGAGGGAGGUGGAAUUCCCGGUGUAGUGGUGAAAUGCGUAGAUAUCGGGAGGAACACCAGUGGCGAAGGCGGCCUUCUGGGCCGUACCUGACGCUCAGACGCGAAAGCUAGGGGAGCGAACGGGAUUAGAGACCCCGGUAGUCCUAGCUGUAAACGAUGUAGACUUGGUGUCGUUGGGUUAAAAGCCGGCGGUGCCGAAGCAAACGCGAUAAGUCUACCGCCUGGGGACUACGACCGCAAGGUUAAAACUCAAAGGAAUUGACGGGGGCCCGCACAAGCAGCGGAGCGUGUGGUUUAAUUCGAUGCUACGCGAAGAACCUUACCCGGGUUUGACAUGCAGAUGGUAGGGAAGCGAAAGUGGACCGACCCUUCGGGGAGUCUGCACAGGUGCUGCAUGGCUGUCGUCAGCUCGUGUCGUG
This 1025-nucleotide ribosomal RNA is filed under the name uncultured bacterium. RNAcentral's name for it is "bacterial SSU rRNA". It matches the Rfam family "Bacterial small subunit ribosomal RNA", at positions 28 to 1069 of the family's 1533-position model. The record is from RNAcentral.